GUAGGUGGCAAGCGUUGUCCGGAAUUAUUGGGCGUAAAGCGCGCGCAGGUGGGUCUUUAAGUCUGAUGUGAAAGCCCCCGGGCUCAACCGGGGAGGGUCAUUGGAAACUGGGGAACUUGAGUGCAGGAGAGGAAAGUGGAAUUCCACGUGUAGCGGUGAAAUGCGUAGAUAUGUGGAGGAACACCAGUGGCGAAGGCGACUUUCUGGCCUGUAACUGACACUGAGGCGCGAAAGCGUGGGGAGCAAACAGGAUUAGAUACCCUGGUAGUCCACGCCGUAAACGAUGAGUGCUAAGUGUUGGGGGGUUUCCGCCCCUCAGUGCUGCAGCUAACGCAUUAAGCACUCCGCCUGGGGAGUACGGUCGCAAAGACUG
RNAcentral lists this ribosomal RNA (373 nucleotides) under uncultured organism. RNAcentral describes it as "partial 16S ribosomal RNA". It matches the Rfam family "Bacterial small subunit ribosomal RNA", at positions 527 to 896 of the family's 1533-position model. The record is from RNAcentral.